CCUACGGGGAGCAGCAGUGAGGAAUAUUGGUCAAUGGGCGCAAGCCUGAACCAGCCAAGUCGCGUGAGGGAUGACGGUCCUAUGGAUUGUAAACCUCUUUUGUCGGGGAGCAAGGCCCGCCACGUGUGGCGGGAAGGAGAGUACCCGAAGAAAAAGCAUCGGCUAACUCCGUGCCAGCAGCCGCGGUAAUACGGAGGAUGCGAGCGUUAUCCGGAUUUAUUGGGUUUAAAGGGUGCGUAGGCGGAAGGUUAAGUCAGCGGUAAAAUGUCGGUGCUCAACACCGGCCUGCCGUUGAAACUGGUCUUCUUGAGUGAGCGAGAAGUAUGCGGAAUGCGUGGUGUAGCGGUGAAAUGCAUAGAUAUCACGCAGAACUCCGAUUGCGAAGGCAGCAUACCGGCGCUCAACUGACGCUGAGGCACGAAAGCGUGGGGAUCGAACAGGAUUAGAUACCCCAGUAGUC
Molecule: ribosomal RNA, 460 nt
Filed under: uncultured bacterium
Lineage: Bacteria
Description: partial 16S ribosomal RNA
Rfam family: Bacterial small subunit ribosomal RNA
Source: RNAcentral